ACGCUGGCGGCGUGGAUUAGGCAUGCAAGUCGAACGGUAUCAUCCUUUCGGGGAUGAGAGAGUGGCGAACGGGUGAGUAACACGUAGGUGAUCUACCCUCAAGACGGGGACAACCCAGGGAAACUUGGGCUAAUACCGGAUGUGAGCUAUCGUGAGAUAGUUUGAAAAGGUUGGCUUCGGCUGCCGCUUGAGGAUGAGCCUGCGUCCUAUUAGCUAGUUGGUGAGGUAACGGCUCACCGAGGCAGUGAUAGGUAGGCGGCCUUAACGGGUGGUCGCCCACACUGGGAUUGAGAUACGGCCCAGACUCCUACGGGAGGCAGCAGUCGAGAAUAGUCUACAAUGGUCGAAAGACUGAUAGUGCGACGCCGCGUGAACGAAGAAGCCCUUCGGGGUGUAAAGUUCUUUUAUAUGUGAGCAGUGCUUUCUAUGUGAACAGCAUGGGGAGAGAGAUAUUAGCAUAUGAAUAAGCAACGGCUAACUCCGUG
RNAcentral lists this ribosomal RNA (485 nucleotides) under uncultured bacterium. RNAcentral's name for it is "bacterial SSU rRNA". It matches the Rfam family "Bacterial small subunit ribosomal RNA", at positions 33 to 507 of the family's 1533-position model. The record is from RNAcentral.